This 483-nucleotide ribosomal RNA is filed under the name Sapromyza mauli. Its description in RNAcentral is "partial 16S ribosomal RNA". It matches the Rfam family "Bacterial large subunit ribosomal RNA", at positions 1857 to 2597 of the family's 2925-position model. The record is from RNAcentral. Lineage: Eukaryota; Metazoa; Arthropoda; Insecta; Diptera; Lauxaniidae.
ACCUGCCCACUGAAAAUUUAAAUGGCCGCAGUAUAUUAACUGUGCAAAGGUAGCAUAAUCAUUAGUCUUUUAAUUGAAGGCUGGUAUGAAUGGUUGGACGAAAUAUUAACUGUUUCAGAUAAAUUUAUUGUAGAAUUUUAUUUUUUAGUUAAAAAGCUAAAAUUUAUUUAAAAGACGAGAAGACCCUAUAAAUCUUGAUAUUUUAAUUUAUUUUAAUUAUAAAGAAUAAUUAUAUUAAAAUAAAAUAAAAUAUUUUAUUGGGGUGAUAUUAAAAUUUAAUAAACUUUUAAUUUGUUAAAUCAUUAAUUUAUGAAUAAUUGAUCCAGUUAUACUGAUUAAAAAUUGAAGUUACUUUAGGGAUAACAGCGUAAUUUUUUUGGAGAGUUCAUAUCGAUAAAAAAGAUUGCGACCUCGAUGUUGGAUUAAGAGAUACUUUUAGGUGUAGCCGCUUAAAUUUUAAGUCUGUUCGACUUUUAAAUUCUU